RNAcentral lists this transfer RNA (74 nucleotides) under Chitinophagales bacterium. RNAcentral describes it as "tRNA-Met". It matches the Rfam family "tRNA". From Rfam's summary of the family: Transfer RNA (tRNA) molecules are approximately 80 nucleotides in length. Their secondary structure includes four short double-helical elements and three loops (D, anti-codon, and T loops). Lineage: Bacteria; Pseudomonadati; Bacteroidota; Chitinophagia; Chitinophagales. The record is from RNAcentral.
GGCGAGGUAGCUCAGUUGGUUAGAGCGCGAGAUUCAUAACCUCGAGGUCACGGGUUCAAAUCCCGUCCUCGCUA